Camelus ferus (Wild Bactrian camel) is the source of this 72-nucleotide transfer RNA. It matches the Rfam family "tRNA". From Rfam's summary of the family: Transfer RNA (tRNA) molecules are approximately 80 nucleotides in length. Their secondary structure includes four short double-helical elements and three loops (D, anti-codon, and T loops). NCBI's taxonomy places the organism in Eukaryota, Metazoa, Chordata, Mammalia, Artiodactyla, Camelidae. The record is from Rfam.
GAGAGUAUAUCUCAGUGGUAGAGUAUGUGCUUAGCAUGCACGAGGUCCUGGGUUCAAUCCCCAGUACCUCCA